Molecule: ribosomal RNA, 460 nt
Filed under: uncultured bacterium
Lineage: Bacteria
Description: partial 16S ribosomal RNA
Rfam family: Bacterial small subunit ribosomal RNA
Source: RNAcentral
CCUACGGGUGGCAGCAGUGAGGAAUAUUGGUCAAUGGGCGAGAGCCUGAACCAGCCAAGUCGCGUGAAGGAUGAAGGAUCUAUGGUUUGUAAGCUUCUUUUAUAUGGGAAUAAAGUGCGGUACGUGUUCCUUUUUGUAUGUACCAUAUGAAUAAGCAUCGGCUAACUCCGUGCCAGCAGCCGCGGUAAUCCGGAGGGUGCGAGCGUUAUCCGGAUUUAUUGGGUGUAACGGGUGCGUAGGUGGUUAAGUAGGUCAGAAGUGAAAGUUUGUGGCUCAACUCUGAGAUUGCCGUUGAAACUGGUGGACUGGAGUAUAGGAGAGGUAGGCGGAAUGCGUGGUGGAGCGGUGAAAUGCAUAGAUAGCAGGAAGAACACCAAUGGCGAAGGCGGCUUACUAAACUGUAACUGACGUUGAGGCUCGAAAGCGUGGGGAGCAAACAGGAUUAGAUACCCGUGUAGUC